GGCAGUGUGGCUCAAUGGAAAGAGCACGAGCUUGGGAGUCAGAGGUCAUGGGUUCUAAUCCUACCUCCGCCU
Molecule: transfer RNA, 72 nt
Filed under: Ornithorhynchus anatinus (platypus)
Lineage: Eukaryota; Metazoa; Chordata; Mammalia; Monotremata; Ornithorhynchidae
Rfam family: tRNA
About the family: Transfer RNA (tRNA) molecules are approximately 80 nucleotides in length. Their secondary structure includes four short double-helical elements and three loops (D, anti-codon, and T loops).
Source: Rfam by way of RNAcentral